AGAGUUUGAUCCUGGCUCAGGACGAACGCUGGCGGCGUGCCUAACACAUGCAAGUCGAACGAGAAUCUUUGGAAUGAUUCUUUCGGGAUGAAUUCCAAAGAGGAAAGUGGCGGACGGGCGAGUAACGCGUGAGUAACCUGCCCAUAAGAGGGGGAUAAUCCAUGGAAACGUGGACUAAUACCGCAUAUUGUAGUUAAGUUGCAUGACUUGAUUAUGAAAGAUUUAUCGCUUAUGGAUGGACUCGCGUCAGAUUAGAUAGUUGGUGAGGUAACGGCUCACCAAGUCAACGAUCUGUAGCCGAACUGAGAGGUUGAUCGGCCGCAUUGGGACUGAGACACGGCCCAGACUCCUACGGGAGGCAGCAGUGGGGAAUAUUGCGCAAUGGGGGCAACCCUGACGCAGCAACGCCGCGUGCAGGAAGAAGGUCUUCGGAUUGUAAACUGUUGUCGCAAGGGAAGAAGACAGUGACGGUACCUUGUGAGAAAGUCACGGCUAACUACGUGCCAGCAGCCGCGGUAAUACGUAGGUGACAAGCGUUGUCCGGAUUUACUGGGUGUAAAGGGCGCGUAGGCGGACUGUCAAGUCAGUCGUGAAAUACCGGGGCUUAACCCCGGGGCUGCGAUUGAAACUGACAGCCUUGAGUAUCGGAGAGGAAAGCGGAAUUCCUAGUGUAGCGGUGAAAUGCGUAGAUAUUAGGAGGAAUACCAGUGGCGAAGGCGGCUUUCUGGACGACAACUGACGCUGAGGCGCGAAAGUGUGGGGAGCAAACAGGAUUAGAUACCCUGGUAGUCCACACCGUAAACGA
Molecule: ribosomal RNA, 805 nt
Filed under: uncultured bacterium
Lineage: Bacteria
Description: bacterial SSU rRNA
Rfam family: Bacterial small subunit ribosomal RNA
Source: RNAcentral